This is a non-coding RNA of Tinamus guttatus (white-throated tinamou), 106 nucleotides long. The record is from RefSeq and is a predicted model, not a curated record. NCBI's taxonomy places the organism in Eukaryota, Metazoa, Chordata, Aves, Tinamiformes, Tinamidae.
CAGGGUUUAUAAGUGCAGGGUUUAGGAUUAGAGAUGCUAUGGUAAAUUUUGCUGCACUUACAUUCACUACUACUGCUGUAGCUUCCCAAAGUUCCUCUGACUAUCA